AGUUAGGUAAGCUAAGAAAGCUCCCGGGCCCAUAACCCGUAUAUGAUGGUUAAAGCCCAUCCCUUGCUA
RNAcentral lists this transfer RNA (69 nucleotides) under Apogonichthyoides taeniatus (twobelt cardinal). RNAcentral's name for it is "tRNA-Met". It matches the Rfam family "tRNA". Rfam says of the family: Transfer RNA (tRNA) molecules are approximately 80 nucleotides in length. Their secondary structure includes four short double-helical elements and three loops (D, anti-codon, and T loops). Further hydrogen bonds mediate the characteristic L-shaped molecular structure. tRNAs have two regions of fundamental functional importance: the anti-codon, which is responsible for specific mRNA codon recognition, and the 3' end, to which the tRNAs corresponding amino acid is attached (by aminoacyl-tRNA synthetases). tRNAs cope with the degeneracy of the genetic code in two manners: having more than one tRNA (with a specific anti-codon) for a particular amino acid; and 'wobble' base-pairing, i.e. permitting non-standard base-pairing at the 3rd anti-codon position. Lineage: Eukaryota; Metazoa; Chordata; Actinopteri; Kurtiformes; Apogonidae. The record is from RNAcentral.